Molecule: RNA transcript, 5221 nt
Organism: Oreochromis niloticus (Nile tilapia)
Lineage: Eukaryota; Metazoa; Chordata; Actinopteri; Cichliformes; Cichlidae
Gene: ccdc85a
Gene name: coiled-coil domain containing 85A
Exons: 4
Source: RefSeq, a predicted model, not a curated record
GGCACAAGGAGAGAGCGAGUAAGGGUGUGAUGGUAGAACAAGAGAGUCUGCUCUCCACACUAUCACACCUUAUCAUCCUGGCUCUCCGGCUAUGCACCUGCAACCUCUCCUUGGAGCCCCCCUUCUUAUCACCCUCCUCUUUUUUCCGUCCUCCGCCCCGGCGGUCGGACAGAGGUAGUGCGCACUCAGCAGCGGUAGUGCGCAAAGCGGUCGGCAUGCACCUGGAGAGAAACCGCCCCGCCAAGCCGGCCAAGGGCUUAACCAGAGACGCAGCAGGAUGCGGAACGAUGCUCUAACGACAGUGAUAUAGCAGCAGAGCACCGGGUGGAUAUCAGAGCUGCAGCAUGGGCGUGGGAAAGAGGCGCAAUGACAGCGAUGUGAUUCCAUAGACAUAAGAAAAGUGGGUGGGGGGAACCCGAGUUACGUUUGGAGUUGUGCAUUUUAAUGCUUCGAUUUGGUUGCUCUAUCUGAAAUUCAUCAGACACAAUACUUUGUUUCACCUCCCGGUCUACCUUCACCGGAGUUUAAAGGGAUGGAGAAAAGCGCACAGCAGCAGCCCAAAAGCGCAGAGAGACCAGCAGAGGACAUCUCCAAAAUACCCGACGAAGAGCUGCUGAAGUGGGGUAAAGAGGAGCUGGUGAGGCGGCUGCGGAGGGCAGAAGCAGAAAAAAGGGGCGCCAUCGUGGAGCACGGCAAUCUGAUGCGGGAGGUGAACCGGAGACUCCAACAACACCUGAACGAGAUACGGAGUUUGAAGGACGUGAACCAGAAACUGCAGGAGGACAACCAGGAGCUGCGGGACCUGUGCUGCUUCCUGGAUGACGACCGGCAGAAAGGGAAGCGGGUGUCGCGGGAAUGGCAGCGAUUGGGCCGCUACAGCGCUGGCCUGAUGAGGAAGGAAGUUGCUAUCUAUUUGCAGAAGCUUAAGGAGCUGGAGCAGCGACAGAUGGAGGUGAUCCGGGAGAACCUGGAGCUCAAGGAGGUGUGCCUCAUGUUAGAAGAGGAAAGGGCCACAGUUGUGGCUGGAAGCACAGUGGGAACUGCUGGUGGUCAGGGAGGCCCUGGCUGCAGGAGCUCCAUUGACAGUCAAAGCAGUCUGUCUCAGCUGGGCAGUGGCAUGCCUACACCAGGCCUGUUGCGGGAUGUUGGUGAUGGAAGCAGCACCUCCAGCACGGGGAGCACAGACAGCCCAGAUAACCCUCACCAUAAACCCUCCCCUCUUGGCUCCAAUUCAAGCCCUGGAUCUGGCUCAAGAUGCAGCUCUUCAGGACAAAAGAGAGAUGUUUGUGAAUUCAGUGGGAGGAGGCGUAGCUCCACCACGGAGUACCACACCUUUCCCCAGUCCUGCCGGCCCCGUGGAGGGUCCCUCACCAACCUAGAGCCUCACAGCUUUCGAGGACACAGCCCAGAGAAACACAGCAAGUCUCCUAGCAGGCUACCUUGUGACUCCCACUCCAAACCCUGCAGCUCUGACCUACUAGCCCAGAAACAGCUACUGAUGUCAGGACAGGCAUGUCCAGGCAGUGGCAAGGGCUCAGCUAAGUCCAGCCCAGAUCUGAGUCAGCGACACCGACAGGUAAACUCAGCAGGGGCUGGGAGUCCUGAAGCCAAGCAGGUAGCAAUGGGCACACCUGAGCACCUGAGAAAAGGGCACGUCAUUGUGGGAAGUCCAGAGUCUAUACGGCACCACUAUCACUAUCAUCAGAGCCCAGGGGUGGAGCACAGCAAGGGGAAGUAUAGUAGUGGCUCCCCUGGCAGGGAUGGGGGUCACAGGAGACCAGCGGGUGAAGAGAUGACCCCCCACCACCAGAGUCUGUACAACGGUAGGCACAUGCUCUGAUAUCUGCUGGCUGCUGCACCAACUCAUGUAGGAGUGUCAAACUUUGGGACAGCUUUGAUGCUUCCUGACCAUGACAUGCCUCUUGAUGAGAUGCUGCUGUGACAACACGCACCCCAGAGAGAGCAGAAGGGACAAGAGGAUCGAUACAUAACCGGUCGCAUAAAUGAUCAGGCCAAUCAAAACUUCGCAGUGAACAGCGACAACAAACACAAAUAAAUACUUCCUCUGCCUUUUCUGUUGUUGCUGCUACUGAUGCUGCUAUGCAUUUACUGAGGACCACCAGAAAAGACGAAUGUCAUUGUUCAGAUGGGCGAAGAUUUGUCCCUGCAUUGCCAAAAGGAACAGAAGAAAACAAAACAACUGAGAAUCUGCGGUUGCCAAUUAUAAAGCCCUACCUCUUUGGAAAGACAGAGCCCUUAUGGAUAAAAUAAGUUAUAUAUGAAGAGUAGUUGUUCCUGGUAACAGUCAAGGAUACAUUCCUGUCUCUUCACUUUCACACCUGUGAGCAUUUGAAAUUAAAAUGUGUGAAAACGCAGUUUUAGGUAAUGGUAACUACUUUUAGAAAGUAAUUGUGGAUCUGGAAUUGAAGCACAAAAAGUUUACUUUAUCCUCUCAACAUCUGUUAGAUUACCAGUGACAAGUUUGCGGUUAGUAUUAGGUUCAUGUCUACUCUUUGAAAUUGAAAAUCUUAAAACCGUUAGACCAAAAUGCAUGUAAAAGAACUGAUUUGAAAAGCAAUAUUUCCUAGUUUAUGAAACUAUGCUUAUUUAGCAUGUGGCUUAAACCUAAUUAUAACAUUUUCCUCAUUUCGUUCACCUGGUGGAUAAUUUUGAUAGUCUUGGCCAUAAUUGUUAGAAAUUAUAUUUCUAUUCACUACAGAAUUUCUCAAAAUGUAAGACAGGAAACUAAUUUGACAAUUGGCAGUCACAAAGGAUGGGACAAGCCACUUUCGUUUUUGAGUUAGUUAGUUGUUACUACAUACAUCUACUGAGGCACGACCACAGUGUGCAGUAUUAGAGCCUACCAUGUGUAUGCCCUGACUAAAAAAUAUAUAGAAAAAACAUAUGUACCUAUAAUUAUAUACACACAUGUAAUAAAGAAUACACAUAAAACACUAAAAAUACAUAUAACUACAAAAAGUAAUAAAAGCAAAAAUAGAGUAAAAAAAAAAUACAUCAUAACAUCAACACUCAGGUGAUGGGGACAAAAUAUGGUCUCUGUAGGGGCCCCAAAAUGUGAUUGUAAACAUGCUUUUGUCCCCACACAAUGAGUAUUAAAUACACACACACACACACACACAAAAAUAAUGCAGUAAAAACUCUUGCAAACUCUUGCAGUAAGUCACAUUAAUUUCCUGUGAAUUUGUUUUAAAUGUACCUAUUGUUCCUUUCCUUUGUUAUUGUUACAAUUGUGGACACAUAUAUUAAAUACAUAUAAGUUUUAGAUAAUGAGGUCAGUGAAUGAACAAAUAAUUCAAAAGCUCAGUGUUCAGACUGAUUUUCUUUUUCACUUUCACUUUUUUUCUACUCCUGGCCACCACAGGUGCCAUUCAAACUCAUUUCUUUAAAGGAAUACAAUCUCUAAAAGGGUUUAAGGCCCCAUUCACACAUGCCCAGAGAAUGUUUGGAAGCUGCUGGCAAUCACCAGUCGAUAUGAAAAGACGUGUUUUCCUGACCAGUUGGUGAGCGGUUGUGGAAGUUGCUGACUGUUGCUAGCCCUAGAGACUGGCCAGUGACCUUGUGACAACCAUCACCCAUAGUUUUCAUGGAAGCUACUGACUUGUCUGCAAAAACUCACCAACUACUUGUUCAUCUGUAGUGAAACUGUGAAAAAAGCAGCUCAAAGUGGAAACACAAACCAUUUACCUUCAAAUAUAAAAGAUGGAUGUAGUUCUUGGUUUCUAAAGUCCCAUCUUGAAGCGUCAAGGUAAAGAGUUUUGCAAUUGCCAUCUUAGUAUUCUGAAACCACAUUUGAAAAGAUAGACAGGUCUGAUUUUGAAACCCCAUAUCAAUUCAAUUCAAUUUUAUUUAUACAGCGCCAAAUCACAACAACAGUUGCCUCAAGGCCCUUUAUAUUGUAAGGUAGACCCUACAAUAAUACAGACAGAGAAAAACCCAACAAUCAUGUGACCCCCAAUGAGCAAGCAGUUUGGCAAUUCCCUUUGAACACGAAGAAACCUCCGACAGAACCAGGCUCAGGGAGGGGCGGGGCCAUCUGCUGCGACUGGUUGGGGAGAGAGAAGAAAGACAGGACAAAUCAUUCAGGAUACCCCAAAUAAUUUUCUUCUCUAAAACACAGCAUGACUAAGAUUUACCAAAUUUACUUAUUUUAUUUAUUUUUAGUGUGACCCAAAAUGAGCGGAAAAGCCUUUACAGCAGAAAAGGGCUGUAGACUUCCGAAGGAAACUAAGUCUUUUUAACCACAGGUUUGACUCUAUGGUGGACAUUAAAAAGAAAUGCAGGUUUAGGCACUUGCAUGCUGGCUUCACCUUUCAGACCCAGCACCGACAUCCAUCUUUUAUACUGUCAAAAAAAUAGUAAAAAAUAAAUAAAUAUGGAGCUGGAGACGAGCAUAAUAGGUCACUUUCAACCAUAACCACUACUAGCCUAAUCCUGACCUACAACAAACUUAAACCUAAAUUUUGUCUUUCCCUUGUUUUCUCACAUCACUAGUAUGUACUGUUUGUCCUUCACUGGAAACAUGUCCCCAGAAUUCACCGGUGCAAACAAAUUUAUAUCUCUGCAAAAUGUUAUACAAGUACAAUAAUUGUUACAAAAAUAGUGGUCAAAACUUUGAAACUAAAAUUCAUCUUGUAAUAGAAACUAAUUAUACUUGUGUUAAAAAAAAAAAAUCAAGAUCAAUUCCAGAUUCCUCUUACUAUAUUUGGAAGUAUUGUUGAAUUUUUGUGAAAUGAAGUUCUUGCUUAAUAAUGAGACAUUUAUUAAAAAGGGUUACUGUGAGAAUAUGGAGGAUGUCAGGGAUCGAGGGGAUAUAUGUUUAAAUAUUUUCUUGUUUAGUUUCUGCUCCUUAUUCAGCUUUGUGUCAAGUUGUGUUCAUAUACCAACAACGUCAUGUACCUUAAACCUUGUGUCAACAUCAAAUCAUAUAUGUAGCUGUGUGUGCUUUUCAUUUUCCACACCUCUGGGUUUUAUGGAUAACAGGCUUGAGCAAUGUUUUCUCAUUGCAUGGGAAGAAACUCAGGCAUGAAAAUUACCAUCAGACACUGUAUUCAGCUAAAACAUUAGAAAAAUUUGGCAACUUAAAAUUUUAACUAGUGUAUUUCCUUAGCUUUCAAGACAUUUUAAGAAUUUUAAACUUUUCAGACAUCAGCUAACCACAGGAUAUACUGAUAUCAGUUUCCCCCCCAAGAUUGUGAAGGGA